RNAcentral lists this ribosomal RNA (253 nucleotides) under uncultured bacterium. Its description in RNAcentral is "partial 16S ribosomal RNA". It matches the Rfam family "Bacterial small subunit ribosomal RNA", at positions 524 to 776 of the family's 1533-position model. The record is from RNAcentral.
UACGAAGGGGGCUAGCGUUGCUCGGAAUCACUGGGCGUAAAGCGCACGUAGGCGGCGCGGUAAGUCGGGUGUGAAAUCUUGGAGCUUAACUCCGAAACUGCAUUCGAUACUGCCGUGCUUGAGGACUGGAGAGGAGACUGGAAUUUACGGUGUAGCGGUGAAAUGCGUAGAUAUCGUAAGGAAGACCAGUGGCGAAGGCGGGUCUCUAGACAGUUCCUGACGCUGAAGUACGAAGGCCAGGGGAGCAAACGGG